This 468-nucleotide ribosomal RNA is filed under the name uncultured bacterium. RNAcentral describes it as "partial 16S ribosomal RNA". It matches the Rfam family "Bacterial small subunit ribosomal RNA", at positions 28 to 507 of the family's 1533-position model. The record is from RNAcentral.
GACGAACGCUGGCGGCGUGCUUAACACAUGCAAGUCGAACGGAAAGGCCCUGCUUUUGUGGGGUGCUCGAGUGGCGAACGGGUGAGUAACACGUGAGUAACCUGCCCUUGACUUUGGGAUAACUUCAGGAAACUGGGGCUAAUACCGGAUAGGAGCUCCUGCUGCAUGGUGGGGGUUGGAAAGUUUCGGCGGUUGGGGAUGGACUCGCGGCUUAUCAGCUUGUUGGUGGGGGAGUGGCUUACCAAGGCUUUGACGGGUAGCCGGCCUGAGAGGGUGACCGGGCACAUUGGGACUGCGAUACGGCCCAGACUCCUACGGGAGGCAGAAGUGGGGAAUAUGGCACAAUGGGCGGAAGCCUGAUGCAGCAGCGCCGCGUGCGGGAUGACGGCCUUCGGGUUGUAAACCGCUUUCGCCUGUGACGAAGCGUGAGUGACGGUAAUGGGUGAAGAAGCACCGGCUAACUACGUG